GUAGGUGGCAAGCGUUGUCCGGAAUUAUUGGGCGUAAAGCGCGCGCAGGCGGUUCUUUAAGUCUGAUGUGAAAGCCCACGGCUCAACCGUGGAGGGUCAUAGGAAACUGGGGAACUUGAGUACAGAAGAGGAAAGCGGAAUUCCACGUGUAGCGGUGAAAUGCGUAGAGAUGUGGAGGAACACCAGUGGCGAAGGCGGCUUUCUGGUCUGUAACUGACGCUGAGGCGCGAAAGCGUGGGGAGCAAACAGGGAUUAGAUACCCUGGUAGUCCACGCCGUAAACGAUGAGUGCUAAGUGUUAGGGGGUUUCCGCCCCCUUAGUGCUGCAGCUAACGCAUUAAGCACUCCGCCUGGGGAGUACGCCGCAAGGCUG
RNAcentral lists this ribosomal RNA (372 nucleotides) under uncultured organism. RNAcentral's name for it is "partial 16S ribosomal RNA". It matches the Rfam family "Bacterial small subunit ribosomal RNA", at positions 527 to 896 of the family's 1533-position model. The record is from RNAcentral.